GAUCCAGGGGCAGCCACAGCAAAGCUGGGAAUUCCAGCCCAGCCCCUCCCCACCCUCCCAGGCAGCAAUUCCUGCACAAGAUCCCAGCCCAAUCUCCCCUUUCCCAGUGGGAGCCAUUCCCUGUGUCCUGUCCCUCCAUCCCUUGUCCCCAGUCCCUCUGCAGCUCUCCUGGAGCCCCUGCAGGGACUCUGAGGAUUCCCUGGAUUUUUCCCUUCUCCAGGGGAACAUUCCCAGCUCUCCCAGCCUGGCUCCAGCUCUGGGGCCUCCUCCGGAUUCUCUCCAACCCCUCCACAUCCUUCCUACUUUCCCCCAUCUCCACUCAUGGCCUCCAUAAAAAAACAGGAAUUCCAGUGUGGGAUCCUCAGGUGCCACUGGCCGGGAAUCUCCUCCAGAACAAACUCCACCCUCAGGAGAACCAGGCUGGAAAACCGCACUGCAAUUCCAAGGGCACGAUCCCAAAUGCCAGGGGUCGGAGUGAGGCUCGGGAGCCUAAAAAAAAACCCGGAGGGAGGCCAGGAAGAGCCGGAGGGGAAGGAUUUGGGAUGGUUCGGGAUGAGUCACGUUGGGAAUGAGUCAGCAGCGUCCUGCUGCUGUUCUAUCCCGGGGUUUAUAAACAAAUUCCUGCUCCUGAGGACACCGAGGGAAUUUUUCCGCUCUGGAGCUGGGACAGGGAUUCAUUGACACUGAGGGCUCCGUGACCUUUCCAAAAAAAAAAAAAAAAAAAAAAAAAGGGAAGAGAAAUCCCACAAAAUAAUUUGGAUAAAAAACCACGGCCCAUGAUGAGCCAGGGGUGGUUUAAUCCAGAAAGGAAAAGAAAGGAAAUGGGAAUUUCAGGAUUUGUGACUUUGCUGCCCUUUCCUCCCGGUUUUUGUUCCAUUUUUGAUGUCGGAAUUCCUUCUGAUCCAUAAAAAACAUGGAGUUCCCAUGCUGUGACAUCGCUCCGGCAUUCCUACAUCCCAGAUCCUUGGAAUUCCUGCAUCCCAGCUCCCUUCGUGCUGGGGAAAGCCAGGUUGGACACCGGGGCUUGGAGCAGCCUGGGAUGGUGGGAGGUGUCCCUGCCCAUGGAAUGGGAUGAAUUCCCAGGUCCCUUCCCACCCAAACCAUUCCCGGGACACACCUUUGGGAUGCAGAGGAUUCUCCUCAUCCUCACCACCCAAUUUUUCCCUGGAUACAGCUGGAAGAGCCCUUUCCACAUUUCCCAUCUGAGACACCCAAGAGUGACAAUCCCAGUGGGAAAGGGAACAUCCCCCACUCCCUCUCCAAUCCCAACAUUUUAGGGAUUGAAUUUGGGAAGGGGGGUGAGGGUCCUUAUCCAAAAAUACAGGGACCAUCUCAGCGAUUCCUCGGGAAUGCUGGAAAAGUGACCUGGGAGCCGCUGGAAUCGUGGGAUUUGCUCCAACAGCCUCAUCCCAGUUUUCCUCCCAUUCUCCCGAUCCCAACCCAGCUGUUCCCUGCAGCAGGGCUCCACCCCUUAAAAUCCAUAGGAACGAGGAUCUCCUGCUUUUCCGGGGAUUUUCUCCACCUCCGGCCUGUGUGAAUCCAGCUCCAGCCCCACCGCUCCCAAAUCCAGGUGAAUCCAUCAAUCCCAGCCCCGGCGGCUGCCCAAAAAUUCCGGAGUUUUUUGCAAGAGCCCUUCGUCAGGGAGAAAAAAUUUCCUGGAAACCUCAGCGAGGCGGUGAAAAGCGGGAUUGGGAUGGGGGUUGGGAAGAGAGGGGAGGAGGGAGCGCGGUCAAGGCCGGGGCAGGAGUUCAUGGAGUUGGAGGUUUUGUGGGAAUGUUUUGUUUGUUCUGGAUUAGGCUGCGGAUUCCUGAAGGAAAACACGCUCGGCUCAAAGCGGGAUGGGGAGAAGGGGUUGGAGCUGGGAUGGGAAGGAGCGAGAGGAGGAUUUGGGAGUGGGGGAAAGCCGGGAUUGGGGAUGAGGGAGGAGAAUCCCGGUGGGAUAAAAAGGGGGAAUUGUAGCCUGAAAAAUUCCCACAGAGCCGGAGAAUCCCAGGGCAGGAGUAACAGCCCCGCUCCAGGGAUCCUGCCAGGUUAUCCCAGCUCCCAGAAAAUCCUUGGGAUGCAGGAACAGCCCCACUUCAGGGAUGUCUGGAUCCUGCCAGGCUGUCCCAGCUCCCACUCAGAAAAUCGGGAUACAGAAGCAGCUUCUCUCCAGGAAUCUCUGGAUUCAGGGGCAAUCCUGCUGGGUUAUCCCACCUUCCAGAAAAUCUUUGGGAUGCAGGAGAAGCCUCACUCCAGGGAUCUCUGGAUCCUGCCAGGUUUUCCCAUCUCCCAGAAAAUCCUUGGGAUGCAGGAACAGCUCCAUUCCAGGGAUCCAGGGGCAGCCACAGCAAAGCUGGGAAUUCCAGCCCAGCCCCUCCCCACCCUCCCAGGCAGCAAUUCCUGCACAAGAUCCCAGCCCAAUCUCCCCUUUCCCAGUGGGAGCCAUUCCCUGUGUCCUGUCCCUGCAGGCCUUGUCCCCAGUCCCUCCCCAGCUCUCCUGGGGCCCCUGCAGGGACUCUGAGGAUUCCCUGGAUUUUUCUCUUCUCCAGUGAACAUUCCCAGCUCUCCCAGUCUGGCUCCAGAAUCCUGGAGCAUUUUCCCUCCUCCACAGCAACCUAUGGAUGAACUGGGAACAGCCCCUUUUUUCCAUGAGGGAUAUAUUUCCCUGAAGUUCCAGCCAGAUCCACAGCAAUUCCCAGAUCCUGGAAUCUCUCUGAAGCUUCAUCAGGAUGCGGAAGGAAAAUAUCCCUGGAGAUGCUCCGCAGUGGGAAUUCCGUGAAGGAACGAGCAGGGAGAGCCCAUGGAAUCCUGGAAUGGUUUGGCUUGGGAGGAGACUACAAGGACCAUCGAAUUCCAAGGACAGGGACAAUAUUCCAGUGGGAAUAAACUUUCCAGAUAUUCCAUAAUUCCAUGACCUCCCCUUUGGAACUGUCCCUGAAAAGGAUGGAUAACCCUGGAAUAACCUUCCCAAAUCAGGAUAUUCCAUGAUUCCAUGAUCAGAGAGCUGUCCCUUGAAAAGGAUGGAUAAACCUGGAAUAUCCCUCCCAACUCAGGAUGUUCCAUAAUUCCAUGAUCACACAGCUAUCCUUGAAAAGGACGGAUAAACCUGGAAUAUCCCUGAAUAUCCCUCCCAGCUUGAGAUAUUCCAAGAAUCCAUGACCACAGAGCUGUCCCUUGAAAAGGACGGAUAAACCUGGAAUCCGGGAGAACUCGCUUGGAAAACUCUCCCCAAACCUCCGAGAUCCGGAGGCAGAAGGAGCCCUUUAUUCCCUCCAGCCUGAAGCCGACUCCUCAUUAGUGGGAUGAGGUCAUUCCUGGAGGAUUGGGAUGGGAUCCCUCCAAAAAGCGGCCCUUGGAAGCUUUCCCUCCUCCAAGAGAAACGUGGGACCUCUGUCUCCCUUUCCUGGAGGAUUCCAGAACUCCAAACAAGCCGGGAGUUGGCUCCGUGCUCCGGCAUUACUCAGGAAAUCUGGCAGGAGGGAAAACCGGUGGACAUUCCAAAAAAAGAAAGAAAAAAAUUCAGAAUUCCUGGUGUUACAAGGAGUCCAUUCAGUCGGAAAAUCCCAGGCCGUUAUCCCGUGCCAAGAACAUCCAAAUCAGUGGAAACAAUUCCCUGAAUUUCUGCAUCAUUUAAUCCUGGGAAGAAAAAAAAAAAAAAAAAAAGAAAAAAGGGCCGUGAUGUGUCCCUGUCAGAAUUAACACCAGCUGUGGCUGAAUCCCAACGCGUGUUCCCAUCGGAUUGCCCUUAGGAAAGCACCUUCCUUCCUGGAAUCCCUCCAUCUCUGAGUGCACGACAUCCCCACUAUCCCAGAAACUCAGGAAUGGCUUUUAAAGGGAAGAAAAAUGGGAUACAAAGUCUUGGAGGAGCCUAUGGAGAGAUGGAGCUCGUCUGCAUUUCCCGGCCUUGAGAAACCUCGGGAAAUCUUCGGAGCCAUUCCCAAGCAUCUGGGAUGGGAAAAGCCGAGGGGCUGGUUGGAACUUUCUGGCAAGGAAGGAGCAGGGAAGGGAAGGGCCCGGGAGCGGGAAUUUCUCCACGUCCGGAGGAGAAGGAGCUGGAAGCGAUUCAGAGCUCCGGAGGCCCCAAAAUCCCGGCUGGAAUCCCAGCGCUUGUAUCCCGCUCAUUUUCGGGAGGCUGUAAUGGGAAACAGCAGCCAGGGAUAAGCGGCCGUGGCCGCGUGAGCUCCGGGCCGGGACAAUCCCGAGGUUCUCGGGAGCUACUGCUCUGGCAAAUCCCUGCUCCCAGGGGCGCCGGAGCACGGCGCUUUCCCUGGAAGCGGGAGCAGAGCGGCUGGAAUGUUCAUGGAGAGAUGGAUGCGGGGAUGGAGAGGGGCUGAGAGAUCCGAAGGGGGAGGAACAAAGUCAUGGAUCUGGCAGGGAGCGGGGUGGGAAGCCUGGGAGUGGUGGUGGGAUCCGUGAUCCGGAGCUCCGUCCUCUCCUGCCUGGAAUUCCUCCCUGCUGUUGUCCUCAUGGAGCUGAGGGUGGAGCAGGUCUCCAGAGGGACCUGGGGAAAAGUGGAAAAUCAGCCCCAAAAUUGUGAUUUUUGCACGGAUGAGCCCAGAAAAAAAACCCACUCAAACCGCUCCCAGGAUUUGGAGUGUGGCCUCAU
Long non-coding RNA from Prinia subflava (tawny-flanked prinia), 4588 nucleotides. RefSeq lists it as uncharacterized. The record is from RefSeq and is a predicted model, not a curated record. Lineage: Eukaryota; Metazoa; Chordata; Aves; Passeriformes; Cisticolidae. The transcript has 5 exons.